Molecule: ribosomal RNA, 253 nt
Filed under: uncultured bacterium
Lineage: Bacteria
Description: partial 16S ribosomal RNA
Rfam family: Bacterial small subunit ribosomal RNA
Source: RNAcentral
GACGAACCGUGCGAACGUUAUUCGGAAUCAUUGGGCUUAAAGGGUGCGUAGGUGGCAGGGUAAGUCGGAUGUGAAAUCCCGGGGCUCAACCUCGGAACUGCAUUCGAUACUGCUUUGCUGGAGUACUGGAGAGGAGAUUGGAAUUUACGGUGUAGCAGUGAAAUGCGUAGAUAUCGUAAGGAAGACCAGUGGCGAAGGCGAAUCUCUGGACAGUUACUGACACUGAGGCACGAAGGCCAGGGGAGCAAACGGG